This 333-nucleotide ribosomal RNA is filed under the name uncultured bacterium. RNAcentral's name for it is "bacterial SSU rRNA". It matches the Rfam family "Bacterial small subunit ribosomal RNA", at positions 30 to 361 of the family's 1533-position model. The record is from RNAcentral.
AUUGAACGCUGGCGGCGUGCUUAACACAUGCAAGUCGAUCGGUAACAGGUGUAGCAAUACAUGCUGACGAGAGGCGGACGGGUGAGUAAUGCUUGGGAAUCUGCCUAUUAGUGGGGGACAACCCGGGGAAACUCGGGCUAAUACCGCAUACGCUCUACGGAGGAAAGCCGGGGACCGCAAGGCCUGGCGCUAAUAGAUGAGCCCAAGUCGGAUUAGCUAGUUGGUAGGGUAACGGCCUACCAAGGCGACAAUCCGUAGCUGGUCUGAGAGGACGACCAGCCACACCGGAACUGAGACACGGUCCGGACUCCUACGGGAGGCAGCAGUGGGGAA